GGGGACGUAGCCCAGCCAGGUAAGGCAACAGGCUCCAGACCUGUGGAUCGUCGGUUCGAAUCCGGCCGUCCCCA
This 74-nucleotide transfer RNA is filed under the name Nitrososphaerota archaeon. Its description in RNAcentral is "tRNA-Trp". It matches the Rfam family "tRNA". Rfam says of the family: Transfer RNA (tRNA) molecules are approximately 80 nucleotides in length. Their secondary structure includes four short double-helical elements and three loops (D, anti-codon, and T loops). Further hydrogen bonds mediate the characteristic L-shaped molecular structure. tRNAs have two regions of fundamental functional importance: the anti-codon, which is responsible for specific mRNA codon recognition, and the 3' end, to which the tRNAs corresponding amino acid is attached (by aminoacyl-tRNA synthetases). tRNAs cope with the degeneracy of the genetic code in two manners: having more than one tRNA (with a specific anti-codon) for a particular amino acid; and 'wobble' base-pairing, i.e. permitting non-standard base-pairing at the 3rd anti-codon position. The record is from RNAcentral. Lineage: Archaea; Thermoproteati; Nitrososphaerota.